UUAUACCCUAACGUAGCCCACCGGAUAUCAGCCGAAGCUCCUCAGAGGAAUAAUAUAGGCUCUUUUAUCCAACUCCACGACACGUUCCGGACACGUCCCAGCUCUUGCAUGAGUGGGAACACCGGUUAUCACAUAUCCAAGCUUAGGUACACGGACCUAUUCCAUCCUCUCGAGCGGAUGGUGACACAUGGCGAAUGGG
Molecule: ribozyme, 199 nt
Filed under: Anopheles gambiae (African malaria mosquito)
Lineage: Eukaryota; Metazoa; Arthropoda; Insecta; Diptera; Culicidae
Description: drz-agam-2-2 ribozyme
Rfam family: drz-agam-2-2 ribozyme
Source: Rfam by way of RNAcentral